This 501-nucleotide ribosomal RNA is filed under the name uncultured bacterium. Its description in RNAcentral is "partial 16S ribosomal RNA". It matches the Rfam family "Bacterial small subunit ribosomal RNA", at positions 30 to 523 of the family's 1533-position model. The record is from RNAcentral.
AUUGAACGCUGGCGGCAGGCUUAACACAUGCAAGUCGAGCGGAGCGAGGGUGCUUGCACCUUAGCUUAGCGGCGGACGGGUGAGUAAUGCUUAGGAAUCUGCCUAUUAGUGGGGGACAACAUUCCGAAAGGAAUGCUAAUACCGCAUACGCCCUACGGGGGAAAGCAGGGGAUCUUCGGACCUUGCGCUAAUAGAUGAGCCUAAGUCGGAUUAGCUAGUUGGUGGGGUAAAGGCCUACAAAGGCGACGAUCUGUAGCGGGUCUGAGAGGAUGAUCCGCCACACUGGGACUGGGACACGGCCCAGACUCCGACGGGAGGCAGCAGUGGGGAAUAUUGGACAAUGGGCGGAAGCCUGAUCCAGCCAUGCCGCGUGUGUGAAGAAGGCCUUUUGGUUGUAAAGCACUUUAAGCGAGGAGGAGGCUACUUAGAUUAAUACUCUGGGACAGUGGACGUUACUCGCAGAAUAAGCACCGGCUAACUCUGUGCCAGCCGCCGCAGUAA